RNAcentral lists this ribosomal RNA (253 nucleotides) under uncultured bacterium. Its description in RNAcentral is "partial 16S ribosomal RNA". It matches the Rfam family "Bacterial small subunit ribosomal RNA", at positions 524 to 776 of the family's 1533-position model. The record is from RNAcentral.
UACGAAGGGGGCUAGCGUUGCUCGGAAUUACUGGGCGUAAAGGGCGCGUAGGCGGUUUGGUCAGUCAGGCGUGAAAUUCCUGGGCUUAACCUGGGGGCUGCGCUUGAUACGGCCAGACUUGAGGACGGAAGAGGCUCGCGGAAUUCCCAGUGUAGAGGUGAAAUUCGUAGAUAUUGGGAAGAACACCGGUGGCGAAGGCGGCGAGCUGGUCCGUUACUGACGCUGAGGCGCGACAGCGUGGGGAGCAAACAGG